RNAcentral lists this long non-coding RNA (544 nucleotides) under Cavia porcellus (domestic guinea pig). RNAcentral's name for it is "lncRNA (ENSCPOG00000030566.1)". Lineage: Eukaryota; Metazoa; Chordata; Mammalia; Rodentia; Caviidae. The record is from RNAcentral.
CCCCGCCCGCCCCGCGGAUGGGACUAGGGGACUUCUGGUUCUGGCCGCUGGGAACUGCCUGUCUGCCGCACUGUGGGGAUACGUGUCUAUCUGCGGGUCGGCGGAGAUCGGGUUACGCUGGCCUCGCAAGUUGGGACUGUGCCUCGGAGAGCUGAGGCUGGGCGAAUCUCCCCUCAGUGGAACUCUGUGCGGGGAUCCUUGACACACCGGUGCUCGCGACACCAUUGCGCAGCCAGAGCCUUGGUUGUUCGCCUAGCUUUGUGGAAGGAUAGCUGGACAUCGAGUGGCUUUAGCCUCAGCCUUCGGUGCCCCAGCCUCUGCACUCACCUGUCAACCGGGUUGCCUGACUCCUGCACACACCUAUGUCUCUAUCUGCAAAGGGGGCUGAGAAUUGGGUGCUACUUGAAGAAGGGCAGUCAGUAGCCAUGUCAGCACACAGCCAGAUGCAGAUGAGCUGUGGAGCCACAAGCUGAGAUCAAAGGUGAUAUUUUUACAGCAACUGAAAUAGAAAACCACCGGGCGCACAGUGGGAGGUGAGUGGCCC